UACGUAGGGUGCGAGCGUUUAAUCGGAAUUACUGGGCGUAAAGCGUGCGCAGGCGGUUUUGUAAGUCUGUCGUGAAAUCCCCGGGCUUAACCUGGGAACUGCAUUGGUGACUGGCAGGCUUUGAGUGUGGCAGAGGGAGGUAGAAUUCCACGUGUAGCAGUGAAAUGCGUAGAGAUGUGGAGGAAUACCGAUGGCGAAGGCAGCCUCCUGGGCCAACACUGACGCUCAUGCACGAAAGCGUGGGGAGCAAACAGG
RNAcentral lists this ribosomal RNA (255 nucleotides) under uncultured bacterium. RNAcentral describes it as "partial 16S ribosomal RNA". It matches the Rfam family "Bacterial small subunit ribosomal RNA", at positions 524 to 776 of the family's 1533-position model. The record is from RNAcentral.